This 497-nucleotide ribosomal RNA is filed under the name uncultured bacterium. RNAcentral's name for it is "partial 16S ribosomal RNA". It matches the Rfam family "Bacterial small subunit ribosomal RNA", at positions 28 to 507 of the family's 1533-position model. The record is from RNAcentral.
GAUGAACGCUGGCGGCGUGCCUAAUACAUGCAAGCCGAGCGAACAGACGAGGAGCUUGCUCCUCUGACGUUAGCGGCGGACGGGUGAGUAACACGUGGAUAACCUACCUAUAAGACUGGGAUAACUUCGGGAAACCGGAGCUAAUACCGGAUAAUAUAUUGAACCGCAUGGUUCAAUAGUGAAAGACGGUUUUGCUGUCACUUAUAGAUGGAUCCGCGCCGCAUUAGCUAGUUGGUAAGGUAACGGCUUACCAAGGCAACGAUGCGUAGCCGACCUGAGAGGGUGAUCGGCCACACUGGAACUGAGACACGGUCCAGACUCCUACGGGAGGCAGCAGUAGGGAAUCUUCCGCAAUGGGCGAAAGCCUGACGGAGCAACGCCGCGUGAGUGAUGAAGGUCUUCGGAUCGUAAAACUCUGUUAUUGGGGAAGAACAAAUGUGUAAGUAACUAUGCACGUCUUGACGGUACCUAAUCAGAAAGCCACGGCUAACUACGUG